UUUCCUUACGUUUCUUCAUCUUCUUCCCCAACAUGAUCUUUAUAUCUAAUAAAUAAUAGGUCACCAUUGUGAGAAAUGAAGAAAGUGGAAACUUUGUAUGCACUGUGGUCCUAUGAGGAAGUACCGAUAGUAUAUUAGAUGACCUUGAAAGAGCAGUUGAUGAUGGUGUGAAUACAUACAAGGCAAUGUGCAGGGACAGUUGUAUAGUACCUAGAGCUGCAGCUACUGAAAUUGAGUUGGCUAGAAAACUGAAGGAGUUUUCUUUUAAGGAAACAGGAUGUUUACACCACAAAGAUGUUUCAGCUACUGCUAGCUGCUUAUUCAACAAUAAGCAUUCAAGAUGCUUCUCUCUUCUUGGGAAUGAAUGAGGAUGAUGCUACAAACUGCAUGUAGACCAGUGAAGACUACAACUUUAAUGCUAAGACAUGAUUUUUGUAUAUAUGUUAGUUUGUGGUUAAUGUUAAGACAUGAUUUUUGGAUAUAUGUUAGUUUGUGGUUAACGUUUUGGAUUUUGGAUAUGUUAAUUUUGUGGGUAAUGGUGAUUGGAUAUUAAUUGAAUGAG
Non-coding RNA from Camellia sinensis, 562 nucleotides. Lineage: Eukaryota; Viridiplantae; Streptophyta; Magnoliopsida; Ericales; Theaceae. The record is from RefSeq and is a predicted model, not a curated record.